AACGAACGCUGGCGGCAGGCCUAACACAUGCAAGUCGAACGUGAAGCAGGAGCUUGCUCCUGUGGAAAGUGGCAGACGGGUGAGUAACGCGUGGGAAUCUACCCAGCUCUACGGAAUAACGCAGGGAAACUUGUGCUAAUACCGUAUACGUCCUCCGGGAGAAAGAUUUAUCGGAGUUGGAUGAGCCCGCGUUAGAUUAGUUUGUUGGUGGGUAACGGCCUACCAAGACUACGAUCUAUAGCUGGUCUGAGAGGAUGAUCAGCCACACUGGGACUGAGACACGGCCCAGACUCCUACGGGAGGCAGCAGUGGGAAUAUUGCACAAUGGGCGCAAGCCUGAUGCAGCCAUGCCGCGUGAGUGAAGAAGGCCUUAGGGUUGUAAAACUCUUUCAUCGGUGAAGAUAAUGACGGUAGCCGAAGAAGAAGCCCG
RNAcentral lists this ribosomal RNA (430 nucleotides) under uncultured bacterium. RNAcentral's name for it is "bacterial SSU rRNA". It matches the Rfam family "Bacterial small subunit ribosomal RNA", at positions 29 to 494 of the family's 1533-position model. The record is from RNAcentral.